This 492-nucleotide ribosomal RNA is filed under the name uncultured bacterium. RNAcentral describes it as "partial 16S ribosomal RNA". It matches the Rfam family "Bacterial small subunit ribosomal RNA", at positions 29 to 507 of the family's 1533-position model. The record is from RNAcentral.
AGUGAACGCUGGCGGUAGGCCUAACACAUGCAAGUCGAACGGCAGCACAGUAAGAGCUUGCUCUUACGGGUGGCGAGUGGCGGACGGGUGAGGAAUACAUCGGAAUCUACUUUUUCGUGGGGGAUAACGUAGGGAAACUUACGCUAAUACCGCAUACGACCUACGGGUGAAAGCAGGGGAUCUUCGGACCUUGCGCGAUUGAAUGAGCCGAUGUCGGAUUAGUUAGUUGGCGGGGUAAAGGCCCACCAAGCCGACGAUCCGUACCUGGUCUGAGAGGAUGAUCAGCCAAACUGGAACUGAGAAACGGUCCAGACUCCUACGGGAGGCAGCAGUGGGGAAUAUUGGACAAUGGGCGCAAGCCUGAUCAAGCCAUACCGCGUGGGUGAAGAAGGCCUUCGGGUUGUAAAGCCCUUUUGUUGGGAAAGAAAAGCAGCAGGUUAAUAACCCGCUGUUCUGACGGUACCCAAAGAAUAAGCACCGGCUAACUUCGUG